Molecule: long non-coding RNA, 470 nt
Filed under: Gallus gallus (chicken)
Lineage: Eukaryota; Metazoa; Chordata; Aves; Galliformes; Phasianidae
Description: long non-coding RNA NONGGAT011985
Source: RNAcentral
AGAGAGGGAGAGAGAGAGAGAGAGAGACAGAGACACAGACACAGACACAGAGGGAGAGAGCCUAAGCGGAGCCGGACGGACCAAGCGCCGCAGCCCGGUUCCUCGGGACCCGCUCCCCGCGGCCGCGGCCCCGCUCCCCGCCGGCCGACCCCAGGUGUCCCCAGGCUGAAAAUGGGACCCUUGACCCACUGCAAGUUGUUCACUGCUCAAAACCCACCCUGGGGAGGUUCCCCCUUCACACGGCCCCUCCAGUGACGUUUAUGGCCUCUAGAACAGCCAGAGGUGACACUUAUAUUGCCAGGAGUGGAUGGAUGGUGUUCAUCCCAAAGAGCAGAAUCGUGGGACGGAAAUCACCUUUCAUCCUCACACCGCAGAACCCUCCCCCAAAAAGCAAGCAAGCAAACAAACAAAAAACCCAACAUCAAAAGCUGUCACCCCCAAGCUCUGCUGGUCCAGAUGUUGCACAAAGU